UUUAUAGUGUACUACUGGAAAUUGUACGAGCAAUUUUGUUUCGUUAAAAAGAUGUAAAAGUAGCUUUAUAAAACUAUUAACCUAUUUAACUAUUUAUCUGAUGUGGACAUCGCAAUUUGAUACAUAAUGCGAUAUUUUAUUGUGUUAAGUUUAAGCAUACUGGAAAUUAUUGUAUAUAUAAAUACAUUGUCAGCGAAUAAUGAAUUGCUUGAUAAACGGCUGCUGUACUAUGAACCGUUACAUUACGAUAUAGACGACCUUCACCUUAGACACACUCAAGUCGGCAAAUCAGGAGACUUACUUCGGGUCAACUUUUAUGCUUUCAAUAAAAAUUUCUCACUCGAAUUGAGAAGGAAGGACAAAUCAUCAUCAAACAUCAUACUUCAUCAUAAAAAGGAAAUCACCACACCAGAUCUUUCAUUUGUUUACACGGGAAAAGAUACAGAACAUUCCGAUAGUGAAGCAAGUUUGGCUGUGAUCAAUGGAACGUUGCAGGGUAAAAUAGUUCUCCCUGGUGAUACAAUUUAUCAUGUAGUUCCUAGUUCGUGGUUGUUCAAAUCAGUGCCAUACUUUCAUACUGUGAUAUAUUCAGAAAAAGAUUAUAUAUGGAAUCAUACUUACCAUUCGGAUACAUCAAUUCCUUUUGGAGGUAUAAGUCAGAGUCAGGACAUGUAUAAAAAGCCAAGAGGCCGGCGGAAAAGAGAUUUAAUUCCACCAUCACAAGGACAAGACCAUCAUGUAUGUACAGUCAAGCUGACAACUGACAACACUGUCUGGAAAUAUUUCAUGAGUUUAGAUCAGAGCGAGGACCGGAGUCGUUACGACAUAUUGUACAUGUUGGAAAAUCACGUGACGGAAGCAAAUAAAAUCUUCAAAAAUACAGAAUUUACCUUAAAUAAAGGUAAAAAGACGGAAGAAAAAUUGAAAGGCAUACAAUUCGAGAUAAGGAAAAUAAAGAUUAUGACAGAUAUCGAUUGUGAAGACGAGGGUAAAUCAGUGCUAUGCAAUGAAGAUCUUGACGGUCAAUCACUACUUGACCAAUUUUCUUUCGAAGACCACAUUGUCUAUUAUGACAAUGUUCCUGAAGCUGAUUAUAUUGGUGGAGAUGACUAUACAUACAGCUAUGAUUAUCCUGAAGAAGAAGUCGAAUAUUGUUUGUCAUUUCUCAUCACUGCAAGAGUUUUGUAUGUCAACAAAGAAAGUCCACUUCUCGGCAAGGCUUUCUCGGCGCUUCUUGAUGGUGGGAUUUGUUCGAAUCAAAACAAUGGAUUCAUCACAAUAUUUCUAGAAAGUACACAAGCUUUGCCAGCACUUGUUACGCAGCUAGUGUUUACACACGAGGUUGCGCAUGGAUUCGGCGCAUAUCACGAUGAUAUGAAGCAAUGUUCAGAAUACAACUUAAAAGAAGAGCCAGCAGACGGAUAUUAUCUGAUGCAUAAAAUUGUUCAACGUGGAGACAAGCCCAAUCAUUAUAAACUAUCACAAUGUAGUCUCAAAUACAUCUCCGAAGCACUGUCUCAGGAUAAAUCUCGCAUAUGCUUUACAGAUAGCGAGUUACCAUAUUGUGGUAAUGGUAUAGUUGACGACGGGGAAGAGUGUGACUGUGGAAACGAUUGUGACACUGAUUUAGAUAAUUGUUGUCAUUCCAACAAUGCAACUGGCGGUUUGAGAUGUACCCUCAAAGAUGGGGCGAAAUGCAGCCCAAGCCAAGGACCAUGUUGUGACAGCAAUGUUUGUCAAUUUAUAAAUCGUACACAGAACUUCGUAUGCCAGAACCCAAAACCAUGUGUUGACAAAUUAUUCUGCCAAUAUCCUUUCAAUUCUAAAAUAUAUUUACAAGUCAUCUGAGCAGAACAGAUAUACGUACAAAGUUUAUCAUAUAAGUACAUCAAAGUACAUUUUACUUGGUAAAAUAAUCAUAAAAGUUUAGUUACCAUAGUCUGAUAGUCUUAAUGUAGGUACAAUAAUCACAAUUUAGUUACAAUGGUCAUAAUGUUUUGCUUGCUUGAAUGGCGAUUUAAAUCUGUCAUUAUUUCUAAAGAAAAGACUCUGUCAUUAUAUCUAAAGAAAAGACUCGAUCAAACCAUGUAUGCAAUGGAUUUUCUUGUAGCAUAAUAUUGAUAUAUUUGCCAAGAAAAGUAUUGCGAGAAUACAUUUUUGAUAAAAGCUAAAUAACUCGUAGGAGUUUUUAUUUUAAAAAACUUAAUUAUUAGUUAGUGGCUUGACUGGUUGUUAGUGGGAAAAUAUUUGGUGCACCAUAUAGUUUAGUUCCUUAACUUAUAGUCACUGGGGAAAUCCAUGGAGCACAAUGUCCCCCACCAAACAAACAUCAACAACGAGAGGACGGCUUCAUCUGUAGCAGUAAUGGACGUGUUUGUGAUGCCGGGAAUUGCAAUGCAUCUAUAUGUAAAUUAAUACAAUGGCGAGAAUGUCAGAUGUCCAAUGAUAAUGACAAAUUAACAAUACAAGAAAAAGAAGAUUUAUGUUAUAUUGGAUGUCGAAGAAAGAAAUCGCAUGAGUGCAUCAGUUCACAUGAUAGGUCGAAAGUUAAACAACACCUAGAGUUUAUGAAUUUGUUGUCUAACAUAUCCUCUGACAAUACUAUACUUCCUGUACAG
Ruditapes philippinarum (Manila clam) is the source of this 2618-nucleotide RNA transcript. It is a transcript of the gene named disintegrin and metalloproteinase domain-containing protein 10-like, with no coding region annotated. The transcript has 15 exons. The record is from RefSeq and is a predicted model, not a curated record. NCBI's taxonomy places the organism in Eukaryota, Metazoa, Mollusca, Bivalvia, Venerida, Veneridae.